Long non-coding RNA from Mus musculus (house mouse), 11199 nucleotides. RefSeq annotates it as predicted gene, 52041. Lineage: Eukaryota; Metazoa; Chordata; Mammalia; Rodentia; Muridae. The record is from RefSeq and is a predicted model, not a curated record. The transcript is spliced from 2 exons.
GCUCUUAAGCCAGCCCCCUGAGAUUCCAGAGUCUGCCUUAGACAGGAGUGGGAUGAACGUGGGGGUGUGGGAAGCGCUCGUGGCUCACUGGAGAGGUUGUUGAUUUACCCGGUAUGUGACUGUGUAUGACCAGGGUGAGCCAAUGUCGGGUGCAAGGCUGCUUCCUGUGGCCAGUCUCCUGCCUCCACCCAAAGCUCCAAAUGUGCCCUUUCCAUGAGUCCCGCAGCACCGUCACUGCACACACCUGUGAAGAUGGAGCAAACGAUUGCCUUCACCUUUGACCUCCCGAGGCCUGGCACCCAGCGCGGUUCAGAUGUGUCUGUAAGCCUUUCACAUCAGUUUAUUUCCAUGCAAUUUGAUUCAAAGCAAUUCUAUUCAAGUCACAUCAGCAGAGUUCAAGUUCUCAGUGAGCACACACACAUACACACACACACACACACACACACACACACACACACACGCACACACACACACACAGAAGCCAGCAUCUGAAAGCCAGCUGGGGGAAUCCACCUGCCUCCGGAUAACUCCCAUUUGCAUGAAGCAUUACUCAGUUUGGGGCCUGGCUCACCUCCCCCGCCCCCAGGGUCUAUGGACUGUGAAAAGGUGGAGUCACUCAACCCUUUAUGAGGCCUCUUGUAAGCCCAGCCUGUAGACACUCAUCAGUGAAUAUUUCUUCAAAUGGUCAUGGAAGCUGCUGAGUUAUGUUCAGUCAAAGAGGUACGGGCUAGCUUACUUCACACAGAAUCCUGUCUCCUGCCAUCUUUGUCAUGAAGCCAUAGAUGAGGAGGGGACAUGAGAGCCCGCUGACCCAAGUGGCCCUAGAGCUGGGCCUGAGGUUUCCCCAUUCCUGGCUGCUGGGGCUCCUCCCCUUCUACACACGAGCUGUAAGAGAUGCCGGGUUUCCUGGGAACACUCCAGCCAGACACAAAACACAACAGCUGUUAUUCAUCAGCCAGAACGCCCUAGUGACACAGCCAUUUCCAGCGGCGACUUCAUAGAGGGCCCACGUGAGGGGUCUAGUCAAGCGGUUGGUGCUGUCCUAAAUUUCAUAAGCAGCAAGCUGGUGCAGAGAAGACAUCCAGGCCGCAGGGGCCGCUGGUCUAAGCAACUUCCGGAAGCAGCUGAAGCAGACACAUCUUGCACCUGAGACCACCGGAUGGCUGAGCUGCAGGGUCUCCUCAGCGCGCCUCUCUCUUUCUGCGCCUGAAAGAGCAAACAAAGGGAGAUGACCUGAGACACCGCUAGAUGUGUCCGCAGCCACUUCCCCGGGGUCUGAAGCUGGUGAGACAGGGCGAUGGGGCCUCGGGCCAUCUUAUUAUAAAGGCGCCUUUAUGCUGUGAUGUAGCCAAACACUUCACCCAUCAAAGAGACCGGGAUUCUCCCCCGCCACGCUCUUCCUCCUAAGGAGAGUCAGAUAAAAGGCUAAGCUGGGAGUUCAAAGUUAUUAAAAUUGGCCCCAGAUUCUGAGUCCCUCCCAGAAAGAAGGCCUAACAAGCAGGCCUCUUCACUGAGAUUUCAUCAGAGCUUCCUGCUUCAAGAGGGACACGGUGUGAGAAACAAAUGUUUUGCCAUGCUGCGAGUAAAGCAGACAGACACAGAGCACUCAUACCGAGAGGGAAGGAGCUUUGCUCCACAAACCAAAUCAGCGCCAUUUUCAUUCCUGAGUUCCUUCAGCAUGUUUUGAGCGCCCGCUGUUUGCAUGAUUUGAGCGCCCACUGUUUGCAUGUUUUGAGCGCCUGCUGUUUGCCAGACUCCAGACGGGGAGCUGUCGUCGUUGUUGUCUAAGGAAACAAGGCAUGGACAUGACCUCCACUGUCAAUGGCAGCGUACACACCUUCAGAACUCCGUGUGAAUGAACCUGUGCCUGGGAGAGACACCUACCUUCAUUAUGAGGGAGGGAGUCCAAGACAGCUCCCUUGCAAAGUGACGAGAGGGGCUUGGGAGAUGGCUCAGUACAUAAAAGGCUUGCCACGCAAGUGUGAGGACUAAGAUUUGCAUCCCCAGAACCCACAUAAUGCUGGGUGGAUUCAGAAGGGGCGAGAAUAGCCAUUAGGAGAGUGGGUCAAGUCUCUGACAGUGCCAUGACCGGACCCCACCAUCACCACUGAAGAACACUGGCCUCUGGCACAUACUUUAUAAGCAUGCAGGAGCCCGGUGCAACCAUGCACAUUUGUGAGUAUCCAGCAGCAGGCAGUGUGGCUGGCUGCAUACACAAGAGCAAGACCCGAAGAUAGCAUGCCUGGAGAUAGAUGGAGCAAGGGAGGAUGAGAGGAGCAAGCCUUUUAAAUAGGACAUGAUAUGUAUAAAAAAACAUGCCAAAGUGCUUUCAGUGACAGACACACAAUCCCUGCUUAUACUGGGAAGAAACAAAGUUACUGUGGGUCAGGCACUCAGAUCAGAUUUUUUUUGAUCAUGCUGCAUUUUUUUUAUUAUUAUUUGUUAUAUGUAAGUACACUGUAGCUGCCUUCAGACACACCAGAAGAGGAUGCCAGAUCUCAUUACGGAUAGUUGUGAGCCACCAUGUGGCUGCUGGGAUUUGAACUCAGGACCUUCAGAAGAGCAGUGCUCUUAACCUCUGAGCCAUCUCUCCAGCCCAUGCUGCAUUUUUUUUUUAAAAGUGAGAUAAGCUAAGAGAUUUAGAAAUCUCCAUUUGAUUAACUAGUAACCCUAGAUGCUAUUAUCUGUCGUUGAAGGGUAAAGAGAUAGGCAAGCCAAGUGAGGGGAUCAGAGGAAGGUUGCGCAGGCAGUUAAGUGCGUGAAUAGAUUCAGGUAAGGCUUCAUCCUGUGUGCUGAGCCAUUCUAUGGUACUGUCAACCAAGGAGUGGAAAGGACUGUUCUGCUCAUUGCACGCCAUCAGGACAUAAAAUAAGGCCCCCGUGUCAGGCAAUGCGGAGGAGAGGCCAGCUUUCUUUGCUAAGCUUGCUGCUGUUGGGGGAGACAAAACGAGUCUAGAGAGUAUUCGCUGAGUGUGGCUGGUUGCUCAAUGUGCCCAUGUGGGAGCACAUUUAUUACAGCGUUCAUCUUCCUACUGACAAUCCGUCCAAGAGCAUUUCACGGAUGUCUCGGUAAAGAAGUACUUUCCAUUCUGCUGCGAUGUGUAACUUGAAGUGGGGCCGUUAUAGACACGCUGCGCCAAGGAUCAACCCGAGUAAAUAGAUCCACGUGAUAAUCUCGCAGGAAACGAUUUCCAGCAACACUGUGCACUUGGCUGCCAUUCUGUCUUGCUUGCUUGUCCCUCACAAACGUCAGCUGAGCAGCAGUCUUCAAUUCCAGAUGCCACUGGCUCUUUGCACAGACUCAAGGUGAGGCAGCCUGAGGUGUAGCCUGUGAACCUACAAACACCUCCUUGUGUUUUCAGUAGAUAGUGACCAGGAGGUAAUUUUGUUCUGGAGGGGCCAGGGGAGAAGAGCCUCAAUACUGUGUGGAAGGCAGCAAAGUCACAUGACUGCUUGGGACACACACACACACAAACCUGUGUUCCAAUUGCAGUUUUUUGUAGCUUAAGAGUGGAAGGUUUUUUUUGCUUUUUUUUUUUAUAUCAUGUUAUCUUGUACUUAUUAAUUUCCUUAUUUGCAAAUGUAUCACAGUGUGACUGUGUAAAGAAUUCCUAUCAUCCGACACCUACUAUUCAGGAACUGUUUCAAGACUCAGUCUGGUGACUUGGUUUUGGCUGGGCUAGGUGUACGAUGUAGGGCCAUGUGUGUUUGAGGCAACUGAUCUACCACUGACCCACAUCCCUCGUCUUUCAGCAGUUCUGAUCCUAAAGCUCACAUUUAUUUCAUAAGAGUGAAACAACAUAAGGAACAGGGGAUAAGAAGCCGACAAGGUUGUGUGACGCAAACGGCCAGGGAAGCAUCCCGAGGUCAACUGCUAAGGCCCUGCUGCUGGAGUUGAGUGUUGGGGCUGGAAGAUGGGGAGAGGCUGGAGAGGAUGUGAGAGCAAGGCAGGGAUGCUCUAACCUAGGCCCUGGUGCACCCUGCAGGCCACAGUGCAGCACCACAUCCUCAUGAGUGCCAGUGGAAAGGAAGUCCUCAGAUAUUCAGCAGGGCAGAGACAAUGUCCUGACUUGGGUGGGACAGGAACGCACGCAGCACUGAACAUGGAGGCUGGACCUCAUGCUCUGAGCUCAGAGCAGAGGGGAGAACGGGGCGUUCAAAGUUCACAGUGAGGAAGCUGGGCCCUAUAAAAAUACCUGUAGAGCCUUCUGUAAAUGGUUAUCUGUCCUUCCAACAGGAAAUACGAUAACACAGUGUAAGCAUUGCUUUUUUUUUUUAAACAGGAAAGCUUUCAGGAUCACACUCAUCUUUGGAGGCCCAGAUAAAUUCAACAUUCAUAUUUAUUGCUUUCAUUAUAAAAUAUAAGCACUUUACAAACAUUUUGGAAAGGGGAAAAAAAACCCACCACCCUUGCUCAAAGACUGCGUCCACAUUUUGGUUAUAUGUCGCUUUAGAUUUAGCAUUUAAAGGUUAAUCUGAAAUUUAACACUGUUCUAAGUGUUUGGUAAAAAAACAUAGAAAUACUGGUUCUUACAGACCUCUGUUUUUCUAAUUCUCCAGAGCAUGUUUUUCUUUCACAGAGAAGACCGAAAGCAUUAGUGAUAAAGCCACAUUCUCCAAGCUUGCAGCCUCAAGAUGAGUGGCCUUUCUGCGAGGCACAUCAACAGCGUGACUUCGAAGAGCAGAGCUUGGAUAGAGAUCUAGGUUCAACGGCCUCAGCUGACAGAACAGUCAACUGGCUGGACCGUGUUUUGUGUGUGUGUGUGUGUGUGUGUGUGUGUGUGUGUGUGUGUGUGUGAUUAUUGGAAACCCAAACUCUUAUUAUCAGUGGGAACGGGAGGAGGGAAGGUCUUUGAAGCCUCAUGUGUCUUUUGUGACCAUGACCCGCAAAGUCAGCAGCCCAGCAGCACAUGUGUGUUGGGGGACGGGGAUGGAGCCCAGGGCCACACACAUCCUGAACAAGCUCUCUACGUCUGAGCUCCAUCCCUGGCUCUUUGAACAGUCUCAUUUCAUUGCCCAGGCUGGUCUUGAAAUUCAUUCUGCAGCUCAAGCAGGUCUACUAGUCACGACGCUCCUGCCUCAGCCUCCCAAGUCGCUGGGAUUAUCAAGUUUAGAAUGAAAUUCUUUUGUUAGUCGCCUUGAUUCUAUGACGUGUCUUUGUUAUCUGAAAUGGCAAUAUUUUUGUAAGUAGAGUAUGCUACCUUUUAAAAACAUAAUUCUGAGCAAAAUGAUGAUCGAAUCUGCACUUCCUUUUUAGACAGGAUCUCACUACAUAGACCAGAUCUCUCAAGAGAUCUGCCCACCUCUACCUCCCAAGUGCUGGGGUUAAAGGCAGGCACCAUCAUACCUGGACUAGUUUUUUGUUUUUCUUUUUUUUUUCUGUUUAGUAUUUUUAAGAUGUCUUUGUGCGUCUCAUCUCUCAGGACCCACCAGUCACACGGCUGGUACUCGAGAAAGUUCGUAUAUAGCCGAGAUGCCUUCCCCAUCAGCUGUUAACAGUGGGAUGCACCUUGAGAACAGGGAGGAGUGUCAGGCUCACCAGAUUUAGCACGGUCAUCUUGACACUCGCGUGGAAUGUGUAUCAACGUUGCAUGAGAACUACUGGUUCAUUCCCUCUAUUUUCACUGAAGAGACACACAAGAUACCCAAACAACACCUUCAGACACAUCACCGUGAAGACCCUCACACUGUAAGGCUCUCUAAUAAAUGAACCUGCCUGAGCCACCCUGCGUGAAACCACACAUGGGGGAAGUGCUAAGUUAGAAUAGCAGCUCCAGCUGAAGGGAACCGAGAAGAAAGUAGAGAGACCCAAAAUUUAAUGUUAAGUUGAAGCAGAACUAAGACCAGCUGUCACUCAUUAAUAGCGGCGGGAUAAAAGGAAGUCGGGUGUCAAUAAGCGACACCAGAGCUGGACAGAGGCCUCAGAGGACAGUAAACUUGCUAUUGGCCCAGGGAAAAGAAAGACUAACGUGACACAGGCAGUUAGAAUGGUCAUGAAGGAAAUAAUUUACAUCAGAGAACCAAGGACUGGAGUAAGCAAGCCCAGCACGGCAGAGUGGUGAGAAGAGCUGGAGCUAGCCCGGGCCAGCAUCACCAUCUCUGGCAUGGACUUAGGGUUCAUGGAAGCCAAAGAACUAAGUGAAGGUGGCCACACAAUCCUAGGAGAGCAGGCUUGGCCAGCCAGGGAGAAAUCAAAAGAAACAUGAAAGACCACGAGCCUUGCGAGGGGAACGGAGGCAGCCAGAAGCACAGAGGACACUCUGACAAAAGAGAAGCUGACACAGAGAAGGAUCUGUAGGACUUAAGUCCAGGCUUUCAAGAAGCAGACCAAGUGCCAGUGAUGGAGAGGAUGGGGGAGAGGAAGGGUUCAGCCACAAGGCUCAGCAGCUACGUGUUGUGCACUGGUGUUGGUCGGGACAAGUGCUCGGUCAGGAGCAAGAGCUUGAUAAUCCUACUCUGACUGACACCUUUAUUUCUUGGUGCUGAGAACUGAACGCAGUCUUGUACGCUACGGCUAGUGCUCUAAACUCUGUAUAGGCCAUUCUUCAGUACUUCUCAGUCUCCUGUCUAAAAUGCCUUCAGACUUCAAGAACCUCCUUCAACAAAUUUAAGCUCUGGCUGGCUGGUUAGUUUAGUUUGAUUUCUGAAAAGUCUCCUGUUUUUUUUUGUGGGUUUUUUUUUUUUUUUUUGAGACAGGGUUUCUCUGUGUAGCCCUAGCUAUCUUGGAACUCACUCUGUAGACCAGGUUGGCCUCAAACUCACAUAGACCAACCUGCCUUGCCUCCUAAGUGCCAGGAUUAAAGGCAUGUGCCACUGCCAGGUGCUGAAAGGAAUUCUGAGAGGUAAGUUCAUGGUUUUCUGAAGGCCAACAACUUCACUGGAAAUAUAACCGCUUUAAACAUGCUGACAAAGAGCCACCAGCUUGUAAGCUGACUGUAAGACCUGCCCUGCCAGCCUUCUCCCUCUGGUUCAUCACUAACCCACCAGACUAGGCACACUACAUGCCCUUCCUACCUUUUCCCUUCUGUACUGGGGACUGAGCCUAGCGCACCCACGCUAGUCACCCACACACACUUAGCACUUUUACUCUUCUUCCAAGAAAGAACUGUCCUUGCAUAGUUAGUGGACUGUAUUCCUUCUCAUCUACAUCCACGAAGCACCCUGUCGCCCCUCCCUGUACUUCAUGGGCAGUGCAACAGUACCACACAUUCACAGGAGGAGCCACCAGUCACGGGUGGUUGUGUAAAAGACACACUGCAUGCAUCUGACUCCAGAAACACCUAACCACCCAGGGGGCAGAAGGCAACCCAUCAGAGAAGAAACCAAAGUUGCCUCUAACUGCGACCCUGGAAUCUGAACUCUGGUGCUAUGUGGCCUCCCCCUCCCCUUUUCUAAGUACACAGUAUUUUGAAACACCUCUUGAUAUUGCUGUACUGACUAGUGGUCUGUAGUUAACAGAACAAAUAAAAAAGCAGAAUUUCACAUUCUCACUCAGCAUAUGAAGAACCUGAUUGUGGAUAAACUUUUCAUUAGUGGUCAUAGCUUUAGACCUAGGUGCCUUCUAGUUUCCACGGGGACAGAUCACACCUCAACAGCUUUUCAUUCAGCUUCAUGGCUAAUGAGUUCAAUACUAGGAAUUUUUAUUCAUCUUACAAGGAAUUAUUUCAACCAUAUAUAUAUGAAGUGCUGUUCUGAACCACCCAAUAUGGGUGUUAGGAACUGACUCGGGUCCUCUUCAAGAGCACUAAACGCUCUCUGAGCCCUCUUUCCAGCCCCACCUAAGUAUUUAUGAACCAUGCCAGUCCCCUGGCAAAAAAUGACAAGUGAAAACGAGCCUGCAUUUUCUAAUGAGGGUAUGUGAAAGCCAGAGGACAACCUUGGGUGACUGCCACCUUUGAGGCAGGGCUGGCCAACAAGUCCAGGGAGGCUCCUGGCCCCUCUACUUCCCCAGAACAUGGUACACCUGGCAUUUGCACAUGGGUUCUGGAGACCAGCCCCAAAUCCUCAUGCUUGCAAGGACAUUGUCAACCGAGCUACUACGCUCCCAGUCCUUGUCUUUUUUAUUAUAUUUUAUUUUGUCAUGCUUAGUUGUUAUCUUUUAAGGAUUUAUUUAUUUAUAUGAGUACAUUGUAGCUGUCUUCAGAUACACCAGAAGAGGGCAUCAGAUUCUUUUAUAGACAGUUGUGAGCCACCAUGUGGUUGCUGGCAAUUAAACUCAGGACCUUUGGAAGAGCAGUCAGUGCUCUUAACCACUGAGCCAUCUCUCCAGCCUUCUGCCCCCCUCCCAAGUUCUUGUCUUGAACUCACUAUAUUCCAGGGUCUCACUAUGUAGUUCUGGCUGGUCUAGAACACACCAAGUAGAGCAGGCUGACCUCAAACUAAGACUCACCUUGCCCUGUUGCUUCUUUAGGUAGGAACAGGUUUCAACCUAAGUGUGACAAGACCGUACACAAGACUCAGGGCUCACAAUGGGGCAGAGGGAGAUAUGCUAAUGGGAGGACAAACUGUCACGACCACCUACAGAAGUCCAUCUAGGGGAAAACACAGGCACGAAUUACCUGUGCCUUCAACACCAGAGAGCUAUCCUCUGGGCUUUCCAGAUGCACUGGAGUUUCUUUGUGAUGUCUUACUGUGCCUAAAGAAAACCCAAACUGAAUAGAAACUAAAUCAGAAGUCUUGUAACCCCAGACCUGAACCAACCCCAACCUGCCUGUAUAAUACACUCCAUCUCUAACAUGAAUAUGGGUAUUUCAGCUUAAACACAAAAUCCAAUCAAACAAUCCAAACAUACUGGUUUCUGUUUUUGAAACGGGAACUUAUGAUGUUGCCAGGCAUCUGUCUCCGUGUUCCCUCUACCUCAACCUUCCCAGGGCUGGGAUUACAGGCAUGAACCACCACACACUGCCACAUGUUUGUAAAGAACAUGGCUGUUUUAAUAGGGAGACAUAUAACAUAUAUUAUUUAAUGAAGAUUUAAUGGGGUGUUGUGGUUAACGAAUAAAAAUUAAAUCUCCUAUUCAAGUAAUUCUACACAUACACACACACACACACACAGAGCUAAGUACAGAGAUGCACAAUGCAUUUCCCACAGUGCCCAUGAGCUAGGUGGUAAGCGUGUUCAAUGUGUGCAUGGUACAAGCACAUCUGUAUAUUCAAUACCAAUACCAUCUCUACUUUAUAGCUGCUGGAUUCUAGAAAAUAAAGAUUUGUAAGCUGCCUAAAUGCUUGGUUUUGUAAAAUUUCUGAAAUGAUGUAUGCGUGAAAGGAAAACACACUAAGGUUUUUUGUUUGUUUGUUUGUUUGUUUGUUUAAAAGCCACUUCUGAAGCCACAUUUAACAGUUAGGCUCCAAGUCACUUCAAUUCAGUGGCUCUUUUCCAUGUACAGAGGACAACGCGCCUGCCCCAGGGAGCUGUUGUAAGGAGUCAUAAAUAGGAGGACACCGCAGAACACAGCUCAGGACUCACGUUUAACAAACCAGCUUCCCUUCCCACUUUCUUACAACGGCGACUGACUGCAGGGUCCCCAGCCUCAGUGUGUGUGUUCCCACCCAAUUCUAAAAUCCAGAAAGACUCCCAGCACUUCAGAGAGAAUCAGUCUAGUUUUGUGUAAAGGAAAAAGGGACAGAACCAAGCAGACAUCAAUACAAUUAAUGCCCUGAACCAACUAUUGCUCAGCUACCUGCAACUGCUGAGUCCUGUGCACCCUAGCAAGUACUUUGCAGAGGCGAAACCUCGCAUCUAUCAUCCAUCACAAGCAUACAAGCACACCGCUAACAAGAAAUGAGAACCAGCUGCUCCUCUCUGAACCGAGUAAGGAUUUACUUAGGAAACACAGGCCAAGUUCACGGACUCGUUACAUGGCUGCCGAUGCUACCCAACACCACGGAAGUAAAGUACCUCAACUCUACCUAAUUUAACUCUACUUCAUUUAAGCUAACAAUUUUGGAGCUCAAAGAAAAAUCAAGGAUCUAGUCUAUCACAGUCUUGAUGAGGGCAUAUACACUGUUCUGAGUUAAACUGUAAUGAUUUCACACCAUACUGAAGGAAUUCAAGGUUGUAAGACCCCAAAUAAACACAAACAAAAGUCGUGGGUCAAAUGCACCCUCAAGCUCACCGUCCUUUCUAUCAAGAGCAGGAAGGCCUCUGCACACUGCAGGAAGGGCGUAACCACACCUCCACCUCCACUCUCAGUGUUCUAGUGCUCACUGCUCUAAUGAUGAUGCCAGGCUGAUGCCUACCAAGUUCCACUUUCUGACGUCACUGCUACGUCUCAUUUCUACCUGAUUCUUCCCCCGUAGCCUUUUAUACUGAGCCUCACUCACUUCUCCUUUCCAAACCUCUCAGGCCAAGCUUUGGCGGACAGCUCCCUUACUACACACAGCACAUGAUCCAAAUGAUGAAGCCAUACAACCUGAGCUAGCGGGUCCGCGCUUUAGUCCACUCUUCUCAAUGUCCAGUGACAGAGUUUGAUACUCGUGAUCCUUACAUUCACUUGACAGAUUCUAAAGCCAACUUGUUCAAAAGAUAAAUUCUGAAAACAAUGUUCAUGAUGUAAAUGACUAUAUUGAAACAAAGAAAAGCUUCAUCCAAGUAUUUACAUUUUUAAAAAAAGACAUUUAAAAGUAGACUACUUAUUAAGUGUGCUUGAACAAACCAUGUGUGGAAUUGAAUUCCAUUCAUUAUGGAGUUAGUUUCUGCUAAAUACUUACUGAUGCUAUAGUAGACGCCUGGCACCUGAAGACUCAAGUUGUCAACUGUUCCCAGUCUACACUAAGAAGUAAUACAUCCUACACUCCCAAGGCUCUAAUUCGGACCUCAGACACACAGAGCUGGACUAUAAGGCAGUUACUCAGGGAUGACGACGUGGCAGCUUUUAAGUGUAGUAGUCCCUCCACCUCCCCAUGUUUUAUCAGGUUUUUAGUUAAACACUAUGGGCCAUUUAAAGGUUUUAAUUACUUAUACCUUACUGUAGUAUGUUACAGUAGCUUACCAAAUUUAGAUAUUCAGAGGUUUUGGAAAAUGUUUUUUUGAGAAUGAGAAGGGUCCCCUAUAUUACAUUAAGUAAAAAAACCAUACAGUUCUGUAGGCCUCAAAAUAAACAGAUUAUACAGCUCAAUUAAAAACCACACACAUUAUAUUACAUACAAAGUUUACAGUCCAGAAAUGCAAAUACAGGCAAUUUGACAUUUCACCCCCUUUU